CAGCAGUGGGGGAAUAUUGCACAAUGGGCGCAAGCCUGAUGCAGCCAUGCCGCGUGUAUGAAGAAGGACCUUCGGGUUGUAAAGUACUUUCAGCAGUGAGGAAGGUGGAUAUGUUAAUAGCAUAUUCAUUUGACGUUAGCUGCAGAAGAAGCACCGGCUAACUCCGUGCCAGCAGCCGCGGUAAUACGGAGGGUGCGAGCGUUAAUCGGAAUUACUGGGCGUAAAGCGCAUGCAGGUGGUUUGUUAAGUCAGAUGUGAAAGCCCGGGGCUCAACCUCGGAAUUGCAUUUGAAACUGGCAAACUAGAGUACUGUAGAGGGGGGUAGGAAUUUCAGGUGUAGCGGUGAAAUGCGUAGAGAUCUGAAGGAAUACCGGUGGCGAAGGCGGCCCCCUGGACAGAUACUGACACUCAGAUGCGAAAGCGUGGGGAGCAAACAGGAUUAGAUACCCUGGUAG
This 455-nucleotide ribosomal RNA is filed under the name uncultured bacterium. RNAcentral's name for it is "bacterial SSU rRNA". It matches the Rfam family "Bacterial small subunit ribosomal RNA", at positions 349 to 793 of the family's 1533-position model. The record is from RNAcentral.